CAGCCGCCGCGGGAAUACGGAGGGUGCAAGCGUUACUCGGAAUCACUGGGCGUAAAGGACGCGUAGGCGGUUCGUACAGUUGGAUGCGAAAUUCCUGGGCUUAACCUGGGGGCUGCAUUCAAUACGUGCGGGCUUGAGUGUGGAAGAGGGUUGUGGAAUUCCCAGUGUAGAGGUGAAAUUCGUAGAUAUUGGGAAGAACACCGGUGGCGAAGGCGGCAACCUGGUCCAUAACUGACGCUGAGGCGCGAAAGCGUGGGGAGCAAACAGGAUUAGAUACCCCCGUAGUCCCUGUCUCUUAUAC
RNAcentral lists this ribosomal RNA (301 nucleotides) under uncultured bacterium. Its description in RNAcentral is "partial 16S ribosomal RNA". It matches the Rfam family "Bacterial small subunit ribosomal RNA", at positions 509 to 807 of the family's 1533-position model. The record is from RNAcentral.